CCUGUAAGACUGGGAUAACUCCGGGAAACCGGAGCUAAUACCGGAUAGUUCCUUGAACCGCAUGGUUCAAGGAUGAAAGACGGUUUCGGCUGUCACUUACAGAUGGACCCGCGGCGCAUUAGCUAGUUGGUGGGGUAAUGGCUCACCAAGGCGACGAUGCGUAGCCGACCUGAGAGGGUGAUCGGCCACACUGGGACUGAGACACGGCCCAGACUCCUACGGGAGGCAGCAGUAGGGAAUCUUCCGCAAUGGACGAAAGUCUGACGGAGCAACGCCGCGUGAGUGAUGAAGGUUUUCGGAUCGUAAAGCUCUGUUGUUAGGGAAGAACAAGUGCGAGAGUAACUGCUCGCACCUUGACGGUACCUAACCAGAAAGCCACGGCUAACUACGUGCCAGCAGCCGCGGUAAUACGUAGGUGGCAAGCGUUGUCCGGAAAUUAUUGGGCGUAAAGGGCUCGCAGGCGGUUUCUUAAGUCUGAUGUGAAAGCCCCCGGCUCAACCGGGGAGGGUCAUUGGAAACUGGGAA
This 525-nucleotide ribosomal RNA is filed under the name Bacillus sp. enrichment culture clone CBMAI_978. RNAcentral's name for it is "bacterial SSU rRNA". It matches the Rfam family "Bacterial small subunit ribosomal RNA", at positions 129 to 639 of the family's 1533-position model. The record is from RNAcentral. Lineage: Bacteria; Bacillati; Bacillota; Bacilli; Caryophanales; Bacillaceae.